This 446-nucleotide ribosomal RNA is filed under the name uncultured bacterium. RNAcentral describes it as "bacterial SSU rRNA". It matches the Rfam family "Bacterial small subunit ribosomal RNA", at positions 330 to 792 of the family's 1533-position model. The record is from RNAcentral.
GCCAGACUCCUACGGGAGGCAGCAGUGGGGGAUAUUGCACAAUGGGGGGAACCCUGAUGCAGCGACGCCGCGUGGGUGAAGGAGUAUUUCGGUAUGUAAAGCCCUAUCGGCAGGGAAGAAGCAAGACGGUACCUGACUAAGAAGCCCCGGCUAACUACGUGCCAGCAGCCGCGGUAAUACGUAGGGGGCAAGCGUUAUCCGGAUUUACUGGGUGUAAAGGGAGCGUAGACGGCAGGGCAAGUCUGGAGUGAAGGGCAGGGGCCCAACCCCUGGACUGCUCUGGAAACUGUCCGGCUGGAGUGCAGGAGAGGUAAGUGGAAUUCCUAGUGUAGCGGUGAAAUGCGUAGAUAUUAGGAGGAACACCAGUGGCGAAGGCGGCUUACUGGACUGUAACUGACGUUGAGGCUCGAAAGCGUGGGGAGCAAACAGGAUUAGAUACCCCAGUA